UUAUCCGGAUUUAUUGGGUGUAAAGGGUGCGUAGACGGGAAGACAAGUUGGUUGUGAAAGCCCUCGGCUCAACUGAGGAACUGCAACCAAAACUAUCAUUCUUGAGUGCGGGAGAGGAAAGUGGAAUUCCUAGUGUAGCGGUGAAAUGCGUAGAUAUUAGGAGGAACACCAGUGGCGAAGGCGACUUUCUGGACCGUAACUGACGUUGAGGCACGAAAGUGUGGGGAGCAAACAGGAUUAGAUACCCUGGUAGUCCACACCGUAAACGAUGGAUACUAGGUGUAGGGAACGAUAUGUUUUCUGUGCCGAAAGCAAACGCAAUAAGUAUCCCACCUGGGGAGUACGGCCGCAAGGUUGAAACUCAAAGGAAUUGACGGGGGCCCGCACAAGCAGUGGAGUAUGUGGUUUAA
Molecule: ribosomal RNA, 410 nt
Filed under: uncultured bacterium
Lineage: Bacteria
Description: bacterial SSU rRNA
Rfam family: Bacterial small subunit ribosomal RNA
Source: RNAcentral